AUUGAACGCUGGCGGCAGGCCUAACACAUGCAAGUCGAACGGUAACAGGAAGCAGCUUGCUGCUUCGCUGACGAGUGGCGGACGGGUGAGUAAUGUCUGGGAAACUGCCUGAUGGAGGGGGAUAACUACUGGAAACGGUAGCUAAUACCACAUAACGUCGCAAGACCAAAGAGGGGGACCUUAGGGCCUCUUGCCAUCGGAUGUGCCCAGAUGGGAUUAGCUAGUAGGUGGGGUAACGGCUCACCUAGGCGACGAUCCCUAGCUGGUCUGAGAGGAUGACCAGCCACACUGGAACUGAGACACGGUCCAGACUCCUACGGGAGGCAGCAGUGGGGAAUAUUGCACAAUGGGCGCAAGCCUGAUGCAGCCAUGCCGCGUGUAUGAAGAAGGCCUUCGGGUUGUAAAGUACUUUCAGCGGGGAGGAAGGGAGUAAAGUUAAUACCUUUGCUCAUUGACGUUACCCGCAGAAGAAGCACCGGCUAACUCCGUG
Molecule: ribosomal RNA, 490 nt
Filed under: uncultured bacterium
Lineage: Bacteria
Description: partial 16S ribosomal RNA
Rfam family: Bacterial small subunit ribosomal RNA
Source: RNAcentral